This is a long non-coding RNA of Bombus impatiens (common eastern bumble bee), 2028 nucleotides long. RefSeq lists it as uncharacterized. The record is from RefSeq and is a predicted model, not a curated record. NCBI's taxonomy places the organism in Eukaryota, Metazoa, Arthropoda, Insecta, Hymenoptera, Apidae. The transcript is spliced from 3 exons.
CCCCCCCCGCCGCAAAAACAAUGUCGAUCGAAAACUAAUCCGAGGCGGCUACUAUAGCCUCGGGGCCAGCACGAUGAAACUUUAGAAUUUGGGGCUGUGUUGAGGCGAGUACUGUUCGUGGCUGGAAAGAUGGCUAGACGCAGGAACAAGAAACGUGCUCUGCUUUCUCCUCCUUCGAUCCGUAAAUCUACAUGACAGAUUUGUAGACACGAACAUUGCGGUCAAUAAAAAUAAACGUGUUCUAUUUUUAAGAUCCUGUCAACAGAAGAUGGUUCUUCUACGUUAUAAACCAAUCAGGCCUACAUUUCAACUGCGAACAAUAAUACAACUUUUGAGUUAGGUUCCAGAUGAUUGUGUGAUUCGAAGAAAACUGCAUAAUCUCAUAGUGAAAAUGACCAUCUUCACGUACUUGCGGUUCUUCGAAUUUUAAUCGCGUUCUUAUUAAUACGCUGUGCUCUGUUCCAAAGGUUCGAAAAUAUUCCAGUUCGCUUCUUCAACGUGUGCAAUUAUUCAUCUAUGAUCGUGACGACAAUUUUCACGUCUGCCUUGACAUGCGAAAUAUUAUAUAUAACAAAAAAGGUUAAUUUAAAGAUAUCGUGCUUGUCUCAUUUUAUUUAUAUAUAAAAGAUAAAAUGUCAAACACAGCCGCUUGUAAAUGAAGAGAGAUAAGCAAAAUUAUUUCAUGUAUGUUUACUUAAAUAAUAUUUACUUAAAUUAUAUACGAUCACAGAGGAGAAUGCUAUUAGCAUAACUGCAUUUAGUACAUAUCUCGUACAGUUCUAUUAUACGAUUGUUUUUCAACAGAAAUAGCCACAGCGAUGAAGCUGCGAGACCAAAAAUAUUUCUUGUCAAGUGUCACGAUUCCGAAUUCUUUGUUAUCGAUUCUUUCGUCGAGUUGCUGUAGUAUUUGUCUCGGCUCUUAUUGAUCCAAAUAUAAAGGUAUCAAGUUCUAAGAGUCUCGGAUUUUACAUACUUAUCGAAUCCCACAGAUUCUAAUACGUUUCUUUCAAAUCCCUUAAAAAAGGUUGUGUGUAUCGAGCUCUAUAAAAUCGUAAUUAUUGGAGUUAUGUAAAUUUCAAAAAGUAGAUAUAAUAAUAUAGAAAGACAUGGAUUAUUAUAAUCGUUGGUGCAGCAUUGGUCCAUUGUCGGUAUUUAAAUCUUAUUUUCUUCGGGGAUACUAAGUAGCUUAUACUUCUUUAAAUCUCAUGUAUUACGUCUGGCUUUUAAAUAGGAAAGCAUGAAUUCUUCUUCUUAAUCCUCGUAAUAAUCUUGCUUUAUACAGUAAUACAGCUAUUAUCUUUUAAAUUCACUACGAUGUCUAAAGUGCUUAUUACAUCUCACAUGAGAAGGAUCUAAUAUUUAAAAGCUUAAAAGGAAAGUGACUUUUAUUAAUGAAAUAACCUUUUGAAAUUUGAUCGAAUAUAUUUUCGAAAAAUCUUUUUAAUACAUUUAGUAACGUAACAAUACCUUUUUUAUAUCUUCUUCUGCGAUGAUUGAAAUUGAUACGAGAUUGGGUAUAUUAGGUAUCAUCCAUAUGGCUAUCUAAUCUUUAAAGCAACAAUAUGAACAACGACAUAAUUAACGCAAAGGGAAAAUUACAGGUUAGUCAAUUACGUACACGCGUUCAAUACGUUUGUUUAAUUACAUCUGGAAUUAAUUACUUUAAUGUAGCGUUUAUGCGCGUACUAGGCAAUUAAUGGAAGAACCCUAUGAUGUAACGCGCAUAAAUUACGAUCACAAUUGCUGAUUUGCACGUUAGUCCAUUACUGAAACUGCAAGAACUUAGUGUUCUCAAUGGACUAACCCUAAAAGAAACAGCCAAUCGAUUUUUCAACAAAAAUAAAAAUUAUCCACUUCCCAUAUGAGAGAAAUAAAACGUGAAUAUAUUUAUAAAAAUUGCCAACAGUUCGAUAAAAGCAGUCUGUGUCUCGAACCUGUUUUAAAAAUACUAUAUACAAAAUUAUGAUAUCAUUUUCUGUAACGUAAAAGACUAUCGUUAAGCUACGUAAAGAAUUAAAACAGUUGCAA